AUAAGGAAAAUUUUCUAUUUACAGAUUUCAAAAUUAAUAUGAAUGAUUGAUAAUUUUAGCGAAAGUGUCAAUUCGCGUCACUUUCAACAUUAAAAUCCAUAAAUUCAUUUAAAUUGACCAAUUGAUCACGGAUAGCGUGAUGAUAAAAUAUUGGAGUGAAAAUUGUCACCGUGGAAGAUAAAUAUUAAUUAAUAAUGGACAUUGAAUGGUUAGAAAAAAAUGUAAUAAAAAAAAAGGAGGAGUUAAUAAAGAAGAUGCGAUGACAAAUUGAGGGAGGAAGUGUCGAGGUAACGAGAUAUUUUGCUCGCGGGUGAAAGCCCCUGUAUGGUACUGGUGUGGUUUAUCAGGAAGCGAAUGAAAACGUGUCUUGGAAGUUCUUCAGUCUACCGGAGACUUCUUUACUAUAUGUAUACUUUAUACUAUAUAAUACUAAAUGUAUACAUAGAUAUAUAUUGGCUCGCGAAAUGUGGCGCAAUUCGCAAAUAAAUGGAGUUAAUUCAUUGUAUCUGAGACUAAAAAUUUCAAAGUAAGUAAAUAACUAAGCAAACAAAACAAACACCAGGGAAUUAAAACCGUCAUGUGACUAUCUAAUUUUCGAAUCAUUGAGUAUCUGCAGUACACGCCCGUAAUUGCUUUCACUACAGGUCAAAAUAUCUUGAGGUCAUGAAUUAGCCUCGGGCGUUCAACAGAAGAGAGAAUUGUCGUUGUCGUCCUCAUAUCGCGUUUGCGGUGAACUUGGUCACGCCCAAAAGAGAUGAGAAGAGAAUAAAUACUUUCUUUGAAAUGCCGAUGAGAAAGAAGAAUGCUAUUAUCGUGAUAAUGAUUAUGAUCAAUAAUUGCAUCGAUAUCCUUCGGCGACUUUCAAUACCAUCAUUAAAGUUAAUUAUCCAGGAGAAGUUUUUUUUCACGAGUUUGUAAAGCAAAGAUGCACACGCGUGCACCACAUGGCAAUUGGGUCGACAAAAAUUGGAGAUUACAAAGCUUGCGUAAAUACAAUGUUAAAUGAGAAUAUAAGGAGAUUAAAAGAGAAGCUUACCAGACGCAUGAUGGAUAAGUCACUAAAUUCCGGCUUUUACAAAAUAACAGUAGUUGUCGUUGUUACUUCUCGAAGAUGAUCACAACUGUGUUGAGU
Cotesia glomerata is the source of this 1132-nucleotide long non-coding RNA. RefSeq lists it as uncharacterized. The record is from RefSeq and is a predicted model, not a curated record. The transcript is spliced from 4 exons. Lineage: Eukaryota; Metazoa; Arthropoda; Insecta; Hymenoptera; Braconidae.